RNAcentral lists this ribosomal RNA (484 nucleotides) under uncultured bacterium. Its description in RNAcentral is "partial 16S ribosomal RNA". It matches the Rfam family "Bacterial small subunit ribosomal RNA", at positions 29 to 507 of the family's 1533-position model. The record is from RNAcentral.
AUUGAACGCUGGCGGCAUGCUUUGCACAUGCAAGUCGAACGGCAGCGCGGGCUUCGGCCUGGCGGCGAGUGGCGAACGGGUGAGUAAUACAUCGGAACGUGCCCAGUAGUGGGGGAUAGCUCGGCGAAAGCCGGAUUAAUACCGCAUACGACCUGAGGGUGAAGGCGGGGGAUCUUCGGACCUCGCGCUAUUGGAGCGGCCGAUGGCAGAUUAGCUAGUUGGUGGGGUAAAGGCCUACCAAGGCGACGAUCUGUAGCUGGUCUGAGAGGACGACCAGCCACACUGGGACUGAGACACGGCCCAGACUCCUACGGGAGGCAGCAGUGGGGAAUUUUGGACAAUGGGCGAAAGCCUGAUCCAGCAAUGCCGCGUGUGUGAUGAAGGCCUUCGGGUUGUAAAGCACUUUUGGCGGGAACGAAAAGGACUGUGCCAAUACCACGGUUCGAUGACGGUACCCGCAGAAUAAGCACCGGCUAACUACGUG